UAUAACCAUUAUGCCAGCAUCCUUGACUUACGUCGCAGUCCUCAGUCCCAGCUGGCAGUAUUCCCACAGGCUAUAAUACUUACCGAGGCAAGCUACAUUCCUAUGGAUUUAUCCUGCCACCAAAACUGAUGCUGGCCCAGUGAAAUGCGAGAUUCCCCUACCCACAAGGAGCAGAGGGCACAAAACACCAUGUCUGAUCAAAUGCCCUUCCCUUUCAACAAUUUCACGUACUUUUUCACUCUCUUUUCAAAGUUCUUUUCAUCUUUCCAUCACUGUACUUGUUCGCUAUCGGUCUCUCGCCAAUAUUUAGCUUUAGAUGGAAUUUACCACCCACUUAGAGCUGCAUUCCCAAACAACUCGACUCUUCGAAGGCACUUUACAAAGAACCGCACUCCUCGCCACACGGGAUUCUCACCCUCUAUGACGUCCUGUUCCAAGGAACAUAGACAAGGAACGGCCCCAAAGUUGCCCUCUCCAAAUUACAACUCGGGCACCGAAGGUACCAGAUUUCAAAUUUGAGCUUUUGCCGCUUCACUCGCCGUUACUAAGGCAAUCCCGGUUGGUUUCUUUUCCUCCGCUUAUUUGAUAUGCA
Molecule: ribosomal RNA, 592 nt
Filed under: Saccharomyces cerevisiae (brewer's yeast)
Lineage: Eukaryota; Fungi; Ascomycota; Saccharomycetes; Saccharomycetales; Saccharomycetaceae
Description: partial 26S ribosomal RNA
Source: RNAcentral